Molecule: ribosomal RNA, 299 nt
Filed under: uncultured bacterium
Lineage: Bacteria
Description: partial 16S ribosomal RNA
Rfam family: Bacterial small subunit ribosomal RNA
Source: RNAcentral
CGGCCUACGGGGCGCAGCAGUGAGGAAUAUUGGUCAAUGGACGCAAGUCUGAACCAGCCAUGCCGCGUGCAGGAUGACGGCUCUAUGAGUUGUAAACUGCUUUUGUACGAGGGAAAACCCCGAUACGUGUAUCGGGUUGAAAGUAUCGUACGAAUAAGGAACGGCUAACUCCGUGCCAGCAGCCGCGGUAAUACGGAGGAUCCGAGCGUUAUCCGGAUUUAUUGGGUUUAAAGGGAGCGUAGGCGGAUUGGUAAGUUAGAGGUGAAAUGUCGGGGCUCAAGCCCGAAAAUGCCUCUAAU